RNAcentral lists this ribosomal RNA (254 nucleotides) under uncultured bacterium. RNAcentral's name for it is "partial 16S ribosomal RNA". It matches the Rfam family "Bacterial small subunit ribosomal RNA", at positions 524 to 776 of the family's 1533-position model. The record is from RNAcentral.
UACGAAGGGGGGCUAGCGUUGUUCGGAUUUACUGGGCGUAAAGCGCACGUAGGCGGUUUGUUAAGUGAGAGGUGAAAUCCCAGAGCUCAACUCUGGAACUGCCUUUCAUACUGGCAAGCUAGAGUCCGGAAGAGGUAAGUGGAACUCCUAGUGUAGAGGUGGAAUUCGUAGAUAUUAGGAAGAACACCAGUGGCGAAGGCGGUUCUCUGGGACGGUACUGACGCUGAGACGCGAAAGCGUGGGGAGCGAACAGG